CUGGCUCAGGACGAACGCUGGCGGCGUGCCUAACACAUGCAAGUCGAACGGAACGCCAAGAGCUUGCUCUUGGCGUUUAGUGGCGGACGGGUGAGUAACACGUGAGUAACCUGCCUUCAGAGGGGAAUAAUGUCUGGAAACGGACACUAAUACCGCAUAAAAUAUUUUAACCGCAUGAUUGAAAUAUCAAAGGAGCAAUCCGCUGAAAGAUGGACUCGCGUCUGAUUAGCCAGUUGGCGGGUAACGGCCCACCAAAGCGACGAUCAGUAGCCGGACUGAGAGGUUGAACGGCCACAUUGGGACUGAGACACGGCCCAGACUCCUACGGGAGGCAGCAGUGGGGGAUAUUGCACAAUGGGCGCAAGCCUGAUGCAGCCAACGCCGCGUGCAGGAAGACGGUCUUCGGAUUGUAAACUGUUGUCCUCUGUGACGAUAAUGACGGUAGCAGAGGAGGAAGCCACGGCUAACUACGUGCCAGCCGCUGC
This 485-nucleotide ribosomal RNA is filed under the name uncultured bacterium. Its description in RNAcentral is "bacterial SSU rRNA". It matches the Rfam family "Bacterial small subunit ribosomal RNA", at positions 19 to 518 of the family's 1533-position model. The record is from RNAcentral.